RNAcentral lists this long non-coding RNA (203 nucleotides) under Manihot esculenta (cassava). Its description in RNAcentral is "long non-coding RNA (MESC_LNC008709)". Lineage: Eukaryota; Viridiplantae; Streptophyta; Magnoliopsida; Malpighiales; Euphorbiaceae. The record is from RNAcentral.
AUCUUAUAUCAGUAGGAGAAAUCUUGCUGGGAACUUUACAGCAUCUUUUCUAAACAUGAGUCUCAAUCUGAACAGGCAUGAGGCAAAAUUCAUUCAUGCUAUCGUUGAAACGGUUACCCAGAGCCUGAACCGUGUAAGAUUGAUUUUGCCUUUGCAUUUAGUUGGAAUGGACACUCGGCUACAAGGCAUUAAUUCAUGGUUAA